RNAcentral lists this ribosomal RNA (27 nucleotides) under Boletus edulis. RNAcentral describes it as "partial 18S ribosomal RNA". Lineage: Eukaryota; Fungi; Basidiomycota; Agaricomycetes; Boletales; Boletaceae. The record is from RNAcentral.
ACACGGUUUCCGUAGGUGAACCUGCGG